Molecule: long non-coding RNA, 438 nt
Filed under: Cyanistes caeruleus (blue tit)
Lineage: Eukaryota; Metazoa; Chordata; Aves; Passeriformes; Paridae
Description: lncRNA (ENSCCEG00000018135.1)
Source: RNAcentral
UGGUGGUUGCAUUUCCUGUGAUGUUGCCUUCUACUUAAGAGCACGUGCCUGCCUGAGCCCCAGCAGUGUGUGGGCAGAGCUGACAGUCACUGAGUGAGUGGAGCAAACGCUGAAGCACUGAGAGAAAAUCUGCAGAGCAGCAGAACUUGCCCAGAAGGAUAUUCUGUGAGUGCAGCAAGUCAACUGGCAAGCACAGAACAGCCCCACCUGAGCCCAGAAAGUGGAUUUGGGAUUGCCCUGAGCUGCUUCCCAGUGCCUGCUGAGGAACACGGAGAAGUGCACUUUUAACACCCAGCAACAGAGAGUGAGAGCUGCUGCUGCUCAGAAGGCACAGAUUCCAUCUUAUAUGGUGAGUUAAAAUGGGAUUUUAACCUGGACUUGGAAAAGUUCAUUGUACACCAGAAAACUUAAGAGAAUACCGUGGCAAAAUCCCUUAAA